Molecule: long non-coding RNA, 318 nt
Organism: Ornithorhynchus anatinus (platypus)
Lineage: Eukaryota; Metazoa; Chordata; Mammalia; Monotremata; Ornithorhynchidae
Exons: 2
Source: RefSeq, a predicted model, not a curated record
GGAACUGAAAUUAGAACCCAGCUCCUCUGAUCCCCAGCCAACAGGCAGGACUUCCAUGGGGCCAACUUUCAGCCUCAGCUUCCCAUCUGCUGGUGCUCAGAGCUGUGAGCUGGUGGUGCUGGUGGGGAAUGUGUAGCAUCCUGACUGAUUUACCCAGCGGGAGACUUCCAGGAACUGCCCGAAGUCUUCAUCCGUCUUCAUGGAGGGUCAUUUUCACAAGGAGGCUGACUUCUAAUCACCUUUAAAAAAUCCAAAGAAAGCAGAUGAAAUAUCUCUCCCUUGAAAGGGAGGCGAAUGAAGGGAAUGUGUUCAACUCUG